Molecule: small nucleolar RNA, 100 nt
Organism: Neltuma alba
Lineage: Eukaryota; Viridiplantae; Streptophyta; Magnoliopsida; Fabales; Fabaceae
Product: small nucleolar RNA snoR1
Exons: 1
Source: RefSeq, a predicted model, not a curated record
GGCGAAGAUGAACAUUGCUGAAUUCUGACACCUCUUGUAUGAGUUGAGUCUUUUGAAAAUAAAGACUCUUCCUUGAGCACAGAUAGCAACUCUCUGAGCC